UGGGGAAUUUUCCGCAAUGGGCGAAAGCCUUACGGAGCGAUGCCGCGUGGAGGUGGAAGGCCUACGGGUCGUCAACUUCUUUUCUCGGAGAAGAAACAAUGACGGUAUCUGAGGAAUAAGCAUCGGCUAACUCUGUGCCAA
This 141-nucleotide ribosomal RNA is filed under the name uncultured bacterium. RNAcentral describes it as "partial 16S rRNA". It matches the Rfam family "Bacterial small subunit ribosomal RNA", at positions 355 to 511 of the family's 1533-position model. The record is from RNAcentral.